GACGGAGGAUGCAAGUGUUAUCCGGAAUCACUGGGCGUAAAGCGCGCGUAGGCGGAUCUGCAAGUCGGGGGUGAAAUCCCGAGGCUCAACCUCGGAACUGCCUUCGAUACUGCGGGUCUCGAGUCCGGGAGAGGUGAGUGGAAUUCCUAGUGUAGAGGUGAAAUUCGUGGAUAUUCGCAAGAACACCAGUGGCGAAGGCGGCUCACUGGCCCGGUACUGACGCUGAGGUGCGAAAGCGUGGGGAGCAAACAGG
This 253-nucleotide ribosomal RNA is filed under the name uncultured bacterium. RNAcentral describes it as "partial 16S ribosomal RNA". It matches the Rfam family "Bacterial small subunit ribosomal RNA", at positions 524 to 776 of the family's 1533-position model. The record is from RNAcentral.